Non-coding RNA from Microcebus murinus (gray mouse lemur), 1166 nucleotides. The record is from RefSeq and is a predicted model, not a curated record. Lineage: Eukaryota; Metazoa; Chordata; Mammalia; Primates; Cheirogaleidae.
UGCAGGGAGAUGUCUCAGAGAAAGUGUUUCUUUGACUCUAUCACUUAUUUGUAUACUUAGCAGGUUCCCACACUCCUCCAGACCUUUGGAGUACUAUAGCAACAGGGGUAGAUGGUGGAAGAGAUCUCAGAGGACCUUAGAGAUUGUUUAACCAAAAUUCUACUUCUACAGAGGCAGUAAGAAAAGUCAAGAAUAUUAAGUUACCUGGGGUCCCAAUCCCUACUGAUAGAAGUAUUGUUGAUAAUUAAGGACUUCUAAAGGUAUACCAGGCGCAUACAUGUGGACAACUACACCUCAGGAAAUGUGAUAGCAUGAUGGGAUUGGCUAACAGAAGGUGUUCCUGACAUAGUAUCAGUUCCCAUAUGGUGAGGAAGAUCCAAGAGGCUUCUCCUGGCUGCUGGGGAAGGAUGUCCAAAAUGAAAAGAAGGGCACCCUGCCCUUGUGCCUAAUGAACUGGCAUAUUUCUGGAAAACUAAAACUUAACAGAUGAGGCAUUGUGGCCUAAAUGUGGCACUAGAUUCAGUUCUAAUUCUGGACCUUGUAGGAACAGAUUUCUCUUCAAAUUUGUGAGUCAAGGGAGGACACUCUGAGUUGAAUUUGAACUUCAUGGUUACUACCCUUUAAAAACUAAUUUUAUUGUAGGAUCUUCUAAAAAAGGGCCUCAUCAAAAUUUGCUAUCUACCUAUUAACUACCUUAAAAUGACAUGAGGAAACUGGAUGGGCCAAUGGAGAGGCAGGAAGGUUUUAAUUUAGUGGAAGAAAGAAGAUCUUGGUAGAAUGGAUUAUUAACUGUAAUUGCUGGGAUGAGCUAUAAAAGAAGGUGUGGAAUCUCCAUUUCUACAUUCUUCUGCCAGUGUUGGGCAGUCCUACCUCAGGGUUUGGGCUUACCUGAAUUGGGGUCCUCCUAGCCGACAUACCUGUUAUAAUACUUAGAAAAUGAUACCUUGAAAAUUUUCUGCUUUAUAUUAAUUAUUUCUUAAAUUUACUACAAGUAUAACAACAGAUAUAUAUUCAAUUUCUUUUUCAAAAAUGGAAAUUUUGGUAUUGCACAUAUUAGAUGGUAAGGGAGUUUGUCAAGUUGCAUAUUCUACGCAUUCAUAAGGCAUUUUUAGCAUAAACAUAUUUUACCAAGAUAGACUCUAGAAACCACUGAAAAUCAGUUUUUU